UUCCACCUGCAAAACGUACCUCGCGCCGGGUGCCUAUAAUUAACCCAGUCACUAGACAAGAUAUAUUUACUGAAGAUUUAUUUGCAUCGGAAAAUGUGAGUGAGAACUCGAGUGAAAGGCAGACGCCUCUAGCGGACAACUCGCACAGUAUCGUGGAAGAGUUCACACGGAUGUUUAGUCAAGCUGCCAACGAGCCAUCUAGCGGCGAGACUGCCAAAACAAACCAUGUACCAAAAUGUAACGAAGUGCCUGCGAUGGCCAGCCCCGAGCAACCUCAAAACGCAAUAAUUUCUAAUAAUAAUGUAAAGUCUGAUAUAGUUAACGAUAAUAUAGGAGCCGAUGUGGAAGUUGAAACGCCCAUCGUGUCGGCGAUAUCCGACAGUCCUGAUAUAGUGCCUAAAGUGACAAACACGAAACACCAAAAGAUUAGUGAAAACUCCAUUGUAGUAGAUAAUAAACAGAAACCGA
Pieris rapae (cabbage white) is the source of this 468-nucleotide long non-coding RNA. RefSeq lists it as uncharacterized. The record is from RefSeq and is a predicted model, not a curated record. The transcript has 3 exons. NCBI's taxonomy places the organism in Eukaryota, Metazoa, Arthropoda, Insecta, Lepidoptera, Pieridae.